Molecule: long non-coding RNA, 1029 nt
Organism: Gallus gallus (chicken)
Lineage: Eukaryota; Metazoa; Chordata; Aves; Galliformes; Phasianidae
Exons: 3
Source: RefSeq, a predicted model, not a curated record
GCUCUAAAUAAAUUAUCUUGUCUUUCUCUACUUUGUCAAAGCAGGACAAGAAGGUGUACUAUCAGAAGGUGUCAGAGUACAGUUUAUAUUAUCUUCACAAGGUGCAGCAGUCCAAUGCAGGCUUAUCCGCAUCAGGGAAGCUGGAGUCUCCACACAAGGCCAAGCCAUUUCAUCUCAGGAGUAGCCCAGAAGGGCAAUCCCAGAUAUGUGUACAGACUGAGAGAAGAACUAAUUCACUGCAGUCCUGUGGAGAAGGAUUGAGGACCCUGGCCAAUGAAAAGCUGAACAUAAGCCAGCUGUGGGCACAUGCAGCCUGGAAGGCCUGCAGUUUCCUGGACUACAUCAAAAGAGAGGCAUCCAGCAGGACAAGGGAGGUGAUUGUCUCUGUCUACUCUGGCAUCGUAAGAUUGCAUCUGGAGUACUGUGUCCGGGUCUUGGGGUCCUCAGAACAAAAAGUAUAUGGAGUUGUUGGAGUGGGUCCAGAAGAGAGCUGUGAUGAUGGUGAUCAGGAAGGAUGAGGAAGUUGGUCUUCUUUACUCUGGAGAAGAGGAAGCUCUGGAGAGACCUCAUCAUGGCUUACCAGCACUUGAGGGGAACUUAUAAGCAGGAAGGAAACCAACAUUUUACAGUUUGAGUAAUAGAAAAAGCAGAAUGGCUUUAAAAUAAACAGGGAGAUUUAGGUUAGAUAUUAGAUGAAAUCUUUUACUCAGAGGGUGGUGAGCGACUGGAGUAAGUUGCCCAAAGAAUUUGUGAAAUCACCAUUCCUGGACGUGUUCAAGGCCAGACUGUAUGGGGCACCGGGCAACCAGGAUUAGUGGAUGGCAAUCCCAUCAAUGGCAGGGUGGCUUGAACUAGAUGAUCUAGAUUUCACUGGACCAGGUUGCCCAAGGAGGUUGUGGAUGCCCCAUCCCUGGAAUCAUUCAAAGCCAGGCUGGAUGUGGCUCUGGGCAGCCCAGUCUAGUGGUUGGUGACCCUACACGUAGCAUGGGGGUUGAAAUUUGAUGAUCAUUGUGUUCCUUUUCAACCCAG